AUCCUCGACUGCACUUCUAAUAUAAAUAUGUUCCUCUGUUCCAUUAAGAUCAUAGAUGGUGUAAAUCCAAGCAGUGUUUCUCCUGAUGUUGUGUCCCACGUUGCCUUCAGUGUUCAGCUGAGAGCAGAGAAAUCAUUUCCAUAGAGAGGAGGCUUUGCAUGGUCAGCUGAUCCUCCAGUGAACUGAGAAGGUUUAUAGUCCUGUGAGUUCAACACUGCAGGACUCACAUCUGUCAGUCAACACAGCAGAAAGCACAACCACCAUGACUCUCAUCACCAUCCUCAUCUGGACGCUGGCCUGCUGCUGUUUUACAGGAUGCAGCGGUCAGGUGACUGUGACUCAGCCUCCAGUAGUGACAUCUGCUCCAGGAUCCACUGUCACUCUCACUUGUAAAGUUAGCCAACCAGUUUACAUCUGUGGUGGUGUAAAUUUAUGUAUGUUCUGGUAUCAACAAAAAGCUGGACAGAGUCCGAAGCUCCUGAUAAGACAUUUAAACACACUUCAUUCAGGAACACCAGCUCGGUUUAGUGGCAGUGGAAGCGGGAGAGACUUCACUUUGACCAUCAGUGGAGUUCAGGCUGAAGAUGCAGCAGUUUAUUACUGUAAGAGUGUACACAGUGGCCCAGUGUACACUUUUGGUGGAGGAACCAAACUCGUCGUUGACUUGGGUGUGGUGCAGCCCACCCUGACCGUCCUCCCCCCCUCCAGAGAGCAGCUGCAGCAGGGAGAUGCCACACUGGUGUGUCUGUCCAGCGGGGGCUUCCCCUCCACCUGGAGGCUGGGCUGGAAGGUGGGGGGCAGCAGCAGCUCCUCAGGGGCGUCACACAGCCCGGAGGUCCUGGGGACGGACGGCCGCUACAGCUGGAGCAGCACCCUGAGCCUCUCUGCAGACCAGUGGAGGAAGGCGGGCUCAGUCAGCUGUGAGGCCAGUCUGAAUGGACAGAGCCCCGUCACUCAAAGCCUGGAGCCUGAGCGCUGCUCAGAGUAGAGCUUCAGCAACACUUCCUGUCUGGAGAUGAUGCUGCUGCUUUCAUAGAGAUCCUGAUGAAGCUCCAGAUCUCCUCUGUUCACAUGUUUCUGCAGGUUUCACAGCUCUCUGCUCAGUGUUUCAGUCUGCAUGUUGCUGUCUAAUACUGAUCUUCUGCAUAUUCUUCUUCUUCUUCUUUACUUUCAAACUGAAUAUGAUCAGUUUCACUCCAAGAGAAACUUCAUCUAUGAACUAUCAUUUAAUAAAACAGUGAAUAAUAAAAGAG
Non-coding RNA from Acanthopagrus latus (yellowfin seabream), 1253 nucleotides. Lineage: Eukaryota; Metazoa; Chordata; Actinopteri; Spariformes; Sparidae. The record is from the annotation of a RefSeq genome assembly.